This 249-nucleotide ribosomal RNA is filed under the name Triticum aestivum (bread wheat). RNAcentral describes it as "partial small subunit ribosomal RNA". Lineage: Eukaryota; Viridiplantae; Streptophyta; Magnoliopsida; Poales; Poaceae. The record is from RNAcentral.
AUGGCCUCCGCCGCGAGAUCCUGCGCCGUCGCCCACUUCACCGCCGACGAGGCGGCCCCGCCUGAGACCCUCCACGUCAUGCGCCUGCAGCGGCUGCGGCUCCGCCGCGCGGCCGCGGGCUGCCUGGACCCCAUCGCCGAGGAGGAGGACUCCGACGCCGACGACGCCCAAGUCCCCGCCGGCUCGCCCAGCGCCCACAGCAGCAGCAGGAGGAGAGCGGCCGUUGACCUUGCCCGCUGCCUUCGGUAG